AUGAACACUUUAGAGGAAGAUAACUUCUUACUGUCUUUCUCCUCCACCUCUGCUGAACAAUUUUAUUCUGUAGCUGGAUAUUUAUACUACAUUAUGGUGGAUAACGAGUUGUAGUUAUUACAGAGAAAUUUCUUGGACAUAUACUGUCAGGAAUUUGAAGACAAGUUAAAGAAUAAACUCACCUACAUGACUACUUUUAAUGAAUAUAUUUAUUUGGUGGAAAAGUAUAUUAAAGACCAGCUGCUGGGGCAGAUGCUUGGAUUUAACAUGGCAGCCUUAUGACAUUACAGCACCAUAAAGAUGAAGCGGUUGGUGACAUAUUUGACAUACUGUUCACAUUUACAGGUUUGAUAGCAUUUAAAGAAUGAUUUCUGGACCACAAAGAAGAAAAACAAGGCUGGGGUUGGACUUAAGCAGUGGUUUACUGGUGACUUCAUUGUGUAAAUCAUCUUCUAUGUUAGCUUCCCAGAACGAUCUGAAG
Molecule: long non-coding RNA, 481 nt
Filed under: Homo sapiens (human)
Lineage: Eukaryota; Metazoa; Chordata; Mammalia; Primates; Hominidae
Description: non-protein coding lnc-GABRG2-3:1
Source: RNAcentral